This 481-nucleotide ribosomal RNA is filed under the name uncultured bacterium. RNAcentral describes it as "partial 16S ribosomal RNA". It matches the Rfam family "Bacterial small subunit ribosomal RNA", at positions 28 to 507 of the family's 1533-position model. The record is from RNAcentral.
GAUGAACGCUGGCGGCGUGCUUAACACAUGCCAGUCGAACGAAGCACUUUAUUUGAUUUCCUUCGGGACUGAUUAUUUUGUGACUGAGUGGCGGACGGGUGAGUAACGCGUGGGUAACCUGCCUUGUACAGGGGGAUAACAGUUGGAAACGGCUGCUAAUACCGCAUAAGCGCACAGCAUCGCAUGAUGCAGUGGGAAAAACUCCGGUGGUAUAAGAUGGACCCGCGUUGGAUUAGCUAGUUGGUGAGGUAACGGCCCACCAAGGCGACGAUCCAUAGCCGACCUGAGAGGGUGACCGGCCACAUUGGGACUGAGACACGGCCCAAACUCCUACGGGAGGCAGCAGUGGGGAAUAUUGCACAAUGGGCGAAAGCCUGAUGCAGCGACGCCGCGUGAGCGAAGAAGUAUUUCGGUAUGUAAAGCUCUAUCAGCAGGGAAGAUAAUGACGGUACCUGACUAAGAAGCACCGGCUAAAUACGUG